Molecule: long non-coding RNA, 215 nt
Organism: Saccostrea echinata
Lineage: Eukaryota; Metazoa; Mollusca; Bivalvia; Ostreida; Ostreidae
Exons: 4
Source: RefSeq, a predicted model, not a curated record
AAAAUGUUAGUGUUGUACUUGAGUAUCGUGGUAGUGUUGUGGUCCAUUGUGGGUGCUGAAGAUGAUUAUAGGCUCUGUUUCACGGAUAGGGACUGUGAAUAUGGUACCUGUCGACAGGGAUACUGUACCUUAGACACUGUGACAAGCUGUGGACUGUUUCGACCCUGCCCAAAUGGACAAGUAUGUAGUAGAGGAAGAUGCAUAGAUGGUGAGUA